Molecule: ribosomal RNA, 1130 nt
Filed under: uncultured fungus
Lineage: Eukaryota; Fungi
Description: eukaryotic LSU rRNA
Rfam family: Eukaryotic large subunit ribosomal RNA (bases 482-1130)
Source: RNAcentral
CUUGGUCAUUUAGAGGAAGUAAAAGUCGUAACAAGGUUUCCGUAGGUGAACCUGCGGAAGGAUCAUUAUAGAAUGAACCCCCCCACCUAAGGCUAAUGCUGAAGGUGGGGUCCUCUUUUUAAACCCGUGUAAUUAGUGAAGUCUGAGCAAUGUUUAUGAAAUAGUCAAAACUUUCAACAACGGAUCUCUUGGUUCUGGCAUCGAUGAAGAACGCAGCGAAAUGCGAUAAGUAAUGUGAAUUGCAGAAUUCAGUGAAUCAUCGAAUCUUUGAACGCACAUUGCGCCCUCUGGUAUUCCGGGGGGCAUGCCUGUUCGAGCGUCAUUACAACCCUCAAGCCUAGCUUGGUAUUGGGCCCCUGGCUAGUUAAGCAGCCGGCCUUAAAAUAAGUGGCAGCACUAAUCCAGCCCUAAGCGCAGUAAACAUUUUACGCUUUUGGACCUGGCUUGGUUGCUUGCCAGAAAUCACCAAAUUCUCAAAGGUUGACCUCGGAUCAGGUAGGGAUACCCGCUGAACUUAAGCAUAUCAAUAAGCGGAGGAAAAGAAACCAACAGGGAUUGCCUCAGUAACGGCGAGUGAAGCGGCAACAGCUCAAAUUUGAAAGCUGGCCUUCUGGUCCGCGUUGUAAUUUGUAGAGGAUGCUUCGGGUGCGGUCCCGGUCUAAGUUCUUUGGAACAGGACGUCAUAGAGGGUGAGAAUCCCGUAUGCGACUGGCUGGCCUGUGCCCAUGUGAAGCUCCUUCGACGAGUCGAGUUGUUUGGGAAUGCAGCUCAAAAUGGGUGGUAAAUUUCAUCUAAAGCUAAAUAUUGGCCAGAGACCGAUAGCGCACAAGUAGAGUGAUCGAAAGAUGAAAAGCACUUUGGAAAGAGAGUUAAACAGUACGUGAAAUUGUUGAAAGGGAAGCGCUUGCAAUCAGAUUGCUCGUCGUCGAUCAGCGGGGGUUCUCCCCUGUGCACUCGGCGUCCUGCAAGCCAGCAUCAGUUUUGGCAGCUAGACAAAGGCCCUGGGAAUGUGGCUCCUCUCGGGGAGUGUUAUAGCCCUGGGUGCAAUGUAGCCAGCUGGGACUGAGGACCGCGCUUCGGCUAGGAUGCUGGCGUAAUGAUUGUAAGCGACCCGUCUUGAAACACGGACC